UUUGCCCGAGUGGUCUAAGGGGGUGGACUUAAGAUCCACUAGACGUGAGUCUGCGUGGGUUCGAACCCCACAGC
This 74-nucleotide transfer RNA is filed under the name Strombidinopsis acuminata. It matches the Rfam family "tRNA", at positions 6 to 65 of the family's 71-position model. Rfam says of the family: Transfer RNA (tRNA) molecules are approximately 80 nucleotides in length. Their secondary structure includes four short double-helical elements and three loops (D, anti-codon, and T loops). The record is from RNAcentral. Lineage: Eukaryota; Ciliophora; Spirotrichea; Choreotrichida; Strombidinopsidae.